RNAcentral lists this ribosomal RNA (641 nucleotides) under Malajczukia viridigleba. Its description in RNAcentral is "eukaryotic LSU rRNA". It matches the Rfam family "Eukaryotic large subunit ribosomal RNA", at positions 43 to 643 of the family's 3401-position model. Lineage: Eukaryota; Fungi; Basidiomycota; Agaricomycetes; Hysterangiales; Mesophelliaceae. The record is from RNAcentral.
UCAAUAAGCGGAGGAAAAGAAACUAACAAGGAUUCCCCUAGUAACGGCGAGUGAAGAGGGAUGAGCUCAAAUUUGUAAUCUGGCGUGUCGCAAGGCCGUCCGAGUUGUAGUCUAGAGAAGCGUCUUCCGUGCCGGACCGCGUACAAGUCCCCUGGAACGGGACAUCGUAGAGGGUGAGAAUCCCGUGUCGCGACGCGGACCGCCGGUGCCCUGUGAUGCGCUCUCGAAGAGUCGAGUUGUUUGGGAAUGCAGCUCAAAGUGGGUGGUAAACUCCAUCUAAAGCUAAAUACGGGCGAAAGACCGAUAGCGAACAAGUACCGUGAGGGAAAGAUGAAAAGCACUUUGGAAAGAGAGUUAAAUCAGUACGUGAAAUCGUUGAAAGGGAAACGCUUGGACUCAUGUCACGUCCACCGCGAAUUCAACUUCCGUCUCGCGACGGUGGUGCACUUUCCGGUGGACGGGUCAGCAUCGAUUUCGAAAGUCAGACGGAGUCCCAUGGGAACGUGGCACUCCCUCACGGGAGGUGUGUUAAUCAGCCCGGGGACUCGGUGACGGUUGGGAUCGAGGAACGCAGCGCGCCUUCAUUGGCCGGGGGUAAUAACCUACGUAACGCGCUUAGGAUGCUGGCGCAACGGCUUCAA